This 464-nucleotide ribosomal RNA is filed under the name Vreelandella stevensii. RNAcentral describes it as "partial 16S ribosomal RNA". It matches the Rfam family "Bacterial small subunit ribosomal RNA", at positions 339 to 795 of the family's 1533-position model. Lineage: Bacteria; Pseudomonadati; Pseudomonadota; Gammaproteobacteria; Oceanospirillales; Halomonadaceae. The record is from RNAcentral.
CCUCGGGCGGCAGCAGUAGGGAAUAUUGGACAAUGGGCGAAAGCCUGAUCCAGCCAUGCCGCGUGUGUGAAGAAGGCCUUCGGGUUGUAAAGCACUUUCAGUGGGGAAGAAAGCCUUGGGGCUAAUACCCUCGAGGAAGGACAUCACCCACAGAAGAAGCACCGGCUAACUCCGUGCCAGCAGCCGCGGUAAUACGGAGGGUGCGAGCGUUAAUCGGAAUUACUGGGCGUAAAGCGCGCGUAGGCGGUCUGAUAAGCCGGUUGUGAAAGCCCCGGGCUCAACCUGGGAACGGCAUCCGGAACUGUCAGGCUAGAGUGCAGGAGAGGAAGGUAGAAUUCCCGGUGUAGCGGUGAAAUGCGUAGAGAUCGGGAGGAAUACCAGUGGCGAAGGCGGCCUUCUGGACUGACACUGACGCUGAGGUGCGAAAGCGUGGGUAGCAAACAGGAUUAGAUACCCUAGUAGUC